This 578-nucleotide ribosomal RNA is filed under the name Escherichia coli. RNAcentral's name for it is "partial 23S ribosomal RNA". It matches the Rfam family "Bacterial large subunit ribosomal RNA", at positions 614 to 1193 of the family's 2925-position model. Lineage: Bacteria; Pseudomonadati; Pseudomonadota; Gammaproteobacteria; Enterobacterales; Enterobacteriaceae. The record is from RNAcentral.
AAUGGGUCAGCGACUUAUAUUCUGUAGCAAGGUUAACCGAAUAGGGGAGCCGAAGGGAAACCGAGUCUUAACUGGGCGUUAAGUUGCAGGGUAUAGACCCGAAACCCGGUGAUCUAGCCAUGGGCAGGUUGAAGGUUGGGUAACACUAACUGGAGGACCGAACCGACUAAUGUUGAAAAAUUAGCGGAUGACUUGUGGCUGGGGGUGAAAGGCCAAUCAAACCGGGAGAUAGCUGGUUCUCCCCGAAAGCUAUUUAGGUAGCGCCUCGUGAAUUCAUCUCCGGGGGUAGAGCACUGUUUCGGCAAGGGGGUCAUCCCGACUUACCAACCCGAUGCAAACUGCGAAUACCGGAGAAUGUUAUCACGGGAGACACACGGCGGGUGCUAACGUCCGUCGUGAAGAGGGAAACAACCCAGACCGCCAGCUAAGGUCCCAAAGUCAUGGUUAAGUGGGAAACGAUGUGGGAAGGCCCAGACAGCCAGGAUGUUGGCUUAGAAGCAGCCAUCAUUUAAAGAAAGCGUAAUAGCUCACUGGUCGAGUCGGCCUGCGCGGAAGAUGUAACGGGGCUAAACCAUGCA